GAGGUCUGAGGCAAGAGAACGGGUGAGAAGAGAGAUUUCAGAGCACAGCGAAAGCAAAUCAGGACUGAAAACACUGCCCAGUGCCUUCGCAGCUGUCACAUGUGCCUGAGAAGAGGGGCAAGGAAGAGGUGAAAGGUAUAACAAGAUAACAGAACAGUCAAAAUGGAUCCUCCUCCAGGCAAUGGAUGGAAACUUCUCUUUUUCCAAUUCUCAGUUACUCCAAAAGGUUUAUUCAAUCACUGGUGAACUCAACGGUGACUUAAAUUCAGUGAAGUUGGCCGCCCCCUACUAGGUGGGCAUGGUCUCAGAACCGCUCCGCCUUCUUCCUUCCAGCACCGAGGAGAGGAAAGCGUUAAGAGUCCUGAGCAUG
This is a long non-coding RNA of Phacochoerus africanus (Common warthog), 370 nucleotides long. RefSeq lists it as uncharacterized. The record is from RefSeq and is a predicted model, not a curated record. NCBI's taxonomy places the organism in Eukaryota, Metazoa, Chordata, Mammalia, Artiodactyla, Suidae. The transcript is spliced from 3 exons.